Molecule: ribosomal RNA, 499 nt
Filed under: uncultured Glomus
Lineage: Eukaryota; Fungi; Glomeromycota; Glomeromycetes; Glomerales; Glomeraceae
Description: SSU rRNA
Rfam family: Eukaryotic small subunit ribosomal RNA
Source: RNAcentral
CCAAUAGCGUAUAUUAAAGUUGUUGUAGUUAAAAAGCUCGUAGUUGAAUUUCGGGAUCAAGGAAUCGGUCAUGCCUUGGUAUGUACUGGUUUUAUUGGUUCUCACCUUCUAAAGAACCAUAAUGUCAUUUAUUUGAUGUUAUGGGGAAUUAGGACUGUUACCUUGAAAAAAUUAGAGUGUUUAAAGCAGGCUUACGCUUGAAUACAUUAGCAUGGAAUAAUGAAAUAGGACGUUUGAUUCUAUUUUGUUGGUUUCUAGGAUCGACGUAAUGAUUAAUAGGGAUAGUUGGGGGCAUUAGUAUUCAAUUGUCAGAGGUGAAAUUCUUGGAUUUAUUGAAGACUAACUACUGCGAAAGCAUUUGCCAAGGAUGUUUUCAUUAAUCAAGAACGAAAGUUAGGGGAUCGAAGACGAUCAGAUACCGUCGUAGUCUUAACCAUAAACUAUGCCGACUAGGGAUCGGAUGAUGUUAAUUUUUUAAUGACUCAUUCGGCGCCUUACG